This 305-nucleotide ribosomal RNA is filed under the name uncultured bacterium. RNAcentral's name for it is "bacterial SSU rRNA". It matches the Rfam family "Bacterial small subunit ribosomal RNA", at positions 334 to 631 of the family's 1533-position model. The record is from RNAcentral.
UGGUCCUACGGGAGGCAGCAGUAGGGAAUUUUCGUCAAUGGGCGCAAGCCUGAACGAGCAAUGCCGCGUGAACGAGGAAGGUCUUCGGAUCGUAAAGUUCUGUUGAAGGGGAAAAAGAGCGGAGAGAGGAAAUGGUCUCCGAUUGAUAUUACCCUUCGAGGAAGUCACGGCUAACUACGUGCCAGCAGCCGCGGUAAUACGUAGGUGGCGAGCGUUAUCCGGAAUGAUUGGGCGUAAAGGGUGCGUAGGCGGCCUGCUAAGUCUGGAGUGAAAGGUACCGGCUCAACCGGUGAAUUGCAUCAGAA